CGUACACUCCUGCGGGAGGCAGCAGUGGGGAAUAUUGCACAAUGGGCGCAAGCCUGAUGCAGCCAUGCCGCGUGUAUGAAGAAGGCCUUCGGGUUGUAAAGUACUUUCAGCGGGGAGGAAGGCGAUAAGGUUAAUAACCUUGUUGAUUGACGUUACCCGCAGAAGAAGCACCGGCUAACUCCGUGCCAGCAGCCGCGGUAAUACGGAGGGUGCAAGCGUUAAUCGGAAUUACUGGGCGUAAAGCGCACGCAGGCGGUCUGUCAAGUCGGAUGUGAAAUCCCCGGGCUCAACCUGGGAACUGCAUUCGAAACUGGCAGGCUAGAGUCUUGUAGAGGGGGGUAGAAUUCCAGGUGUAGCGGUGAAAUGCGUAGAGAUCUGGAGGAAUACCGGUGGCGAAGGCGGCCCCCUGGACAAAGACUGACGCUCAGGUGCGAAAGCGUGGGGAGCAAACAGGAUUAGAUACCCCAGUAGUCC
This 474-nucleotide ribosomal RNA is filed under the name uncultured organism. Its description in RNAcentral is "partial 16S ribosomal RNA". It matches the Rfam family "Bacterial small subunit ribosomal RNA", at positions 330 to 796 of the family's 1533-position model. The record is from RNAcentral.